GUAGGAUGUUAUUAUAAUGAGGUCAGGGCGAGGAUCUGACAUUUGCGACGAGGACGAAGUAGGAAUUGUGUAGUUCACCUUUAGAAGCGUUUAAUGGAGUCGAAGCAGCUGGGAUUGCAGGUUUGAAUUCGUACGAGCCGAGUGGGGAAGCGAGUGUGGUGAAUGAAUGCACGUUGGGAGGCAUGGUUAGAGGAAUUAGAUGCCUACGCAGACAGACGGAGACUGUUUGGCGAUGGGGCAACGUUGGUGCAGCUCACACGACGGCGAGCAUAGUUAUUGUACAGUUCUGGAGCUCCAGUUCAGGAGACUUUCAGGACAGAAGGCAAAGUGGAUUAUGCGAUCGAUGGCUGUUGAUGCGUUGACGAAGCACUUUUGUGGUGCGAACAAAUCUACUACAUGUCAAUGACAUGUAUUUCGCCAGACGACACAUGGAGGGCUGCAACAAUGGAGUUGAGUUGAGGAAUCAUCAGUGAUCAGGUUGUACAAAGUUGUAUAUCAAAUGGCGUGAGACACAAUUUGCUGGAGAAAGGUGACACGCUGGCAUUAAUGGAAACACCGCUUCAUUUGAAGAUGUGGAAACCCAGUUUCAGACCAGAGAUUGGAUGGUGGAAGGCACUUUAACAAGAUGACCCUCUGGCACUCGCAAGGGUCAUUCCAAAGCUGAAGAUGACUCUGAAUGUUUUAGAUGUGGGAUUUUUUGACAUUUUGGCAAGGAUUCAUGUUGUCCUGGCAAGGGUCAAACAUGCAGAAAGUAUGGAAGAAAAUACCAUUUUGCAAGAAAGUGUCGAGCCCCAGGCAAACAAAGAGAGAUCAGUUUAUGCCAUAUUGAUAAAUGUGAAUGUAAAUGUGACGAAACACAGAUGGAUGCAUGAUAUGUUAUUGCUAUCAACAAUAAGCACAGAAUGUAGUCAGUGAUGAUUGGAGGUUUGGAUCAAUUUGACCCAAGUGAGGAAACGAGUGUGGUGAGUGCACGUUGGGAGGCAUGGUUAGAGGAAUUAGAUGCCUACGCAGGCAGCCUGGGACUGUUUGUCGAUGGGGCAACGUCAGUGCAGCUCACACGCCGGUGAGCAUUGUGAUUGUAUAGUUCUGGUGCUUCAGUUCAGGACACCUCCAGAGACAGGAGGCAAAGUGGAUUAUGCGAUGGCUUUUGAUGCGUUGAAGAAGCACUAUGUGGUGCAAACAAAUACUACAUUUCAAUGUCAUGUAUUUUGCCAGACGACACGGGGGGGGGGGGGGGAAGCAAUGUUCAGUUUGUCACUAGAUUGCAUCAAUUUUCUGAGGACUGCAACUAUGGUGCUGAACUGGAGAAUCAGAAGCAGCUGGGAAUAGAGGUUUGAAACCAUCAAAAUUUAUACCAUGAUGAUGAAUGUCCAUGUGAAUGUAAAUAUGCCAAAACAUGGAUGGAUGCAGGAUAUGCUUUUGUAUUAAAAAAUAAGCACGCAAAGAUGCCGGUGAUGAUCGGAUGUGUGGAAAUAGACAUUAUAAUAGACUCUGGAAGUGAUAGCAAUGUUAUCGAUAGAGCACUGUGGGAAGUCUUAAAACUGAGCAAGAUAAAAUGCACUUUAAGGAUGUGUAAGAAGAAAUUGUAUCCUUAUACAUGUCAUCGAAAACCACUCCAGACGAUGUUUCAAGGUAAAUGUCCAAGCUGGUGACAAGCACACUUUGGCUGAAUUUGUAAUCAUUGAGGAGUAAUGAGAACCACUAAUGAGUAGAGAGAUUUCCCAAGCAUUCGGUGUGCUACACUUUGGGAUAAAUGUGAACUCACUGAAGUCAUAUGCAGACCUAAAGGGAAGCUCAGGUCAGUAUAAUUGGAAAAUUGCAUGAUCGUCAGAACAAACUUGAGAUAAACCCAGAUGUUUAGCUUGUAGCACAACCAAUGAGAAGAAUCUCAUUUGGGUGAAGCGAGAAGGUUGAGGCCAUGAUCCAAGAACUAAUUGAACAGGAUAUAAUUGAGCAUGUUGAAGAAUCAAUGCCAUAGGUCAGUCCAAUUAUAGCAGUACCAAAACCAAAUGGAGAGACAAGACUUUGCGUGGACACGAGACAAACAAAUGAGGCAAUAAUACGAGAGACACGCCAUACCUACUGUCGAUUAGGUCCUAUAAGAGCUAUCUUCAAGCAAAGUAUUUUCUAAGCUAAACCUAAAGUUGUGUUAUCAUCAGUUGGACCCAGAGUCAAGGAAAAUAACAACUUUUGACACACAUUGUGGACUCUACUGAUAUGAGGUUGUUGUUCGGAGUCAAUGGAUCACCAGAGAUUUACCAACAUGAAAUUCACAACGUAAUUGAAGGGGUUCCUGGACAGCAAAUGAUAUCAACAUUCACUGUACCACACGAGGAACAGACGCGGACAGACGCUAGCUUGGGCGAAGGCUGCAAGAUUUACAUUGAUUUUGAGAUAUAUGCCUCACUGGUCCUUAUUUAUUGCCCCAUUUUUGUCGAGUUGUUGGUCAUUGACAUUUCUCAUGAACACUUAAACUUUGUAUCAGUUCUAUACUACAGACUGCUUAAGUCAUAUGAGCCAGCAAUACCUAGUUAUACAACAAUCUACACACUACCAAAGUAAAUGGAGAAUCCUGCACACAUCAAAAUCUGCGAAGAGAAUUACAUCCUUAUCUUCCUUUCAACAAUUUAAACCUUUUAAAAUGCCAGGAACAGGCAAAUGUUUUAUUUGUCAUAAUAGCAGAAUAUAAAUGCAGUUGACAAGAAAUUAGAAAAAAAUAUAUACUGUAUUGCCUGAGUGUUAAAUUAAUACUUGCCAAAAUUGUGAAUUCAAGUUCAUGAAUUUUGUGUCACAGCAUUACACAUUUAUCAUAAUGUAAAUAUGUAAAUAAAACUAGUCUUCAAGAUAUUUAUAAUUCAA
This is a long non-coding RNA of Amblyraja radiata (thorny skate), 2859 nucleotides long. RefSeq lists it as uncharacterized. The transcript is spliced from 2 exons. The record is from RefSeq and is a predicted model, not a curated record. NCBI's taxonomy places the organism in Eukaryota, Metazoa, Chordata, Chondrichthyes, Rajiformes, Rajidae.